UAAAAGAGUGUAUGUUUUCUGCAGGUAUGU
This 30-nucleotide non-coding RNA is filed under the name Mus musculus (house mouse). The record is from RNAcentral. Lineage: Eukaryota; Metazoa; Chordata; Mammalia; Rodentia; Muridae.